Molecule: ribosomal RNA, 1327 nt
Filed under: Salmonella enterica
Lineage: Bacteria; Pseudomonadati; Pseudomonadota; Gammaproteobacteria; Enterobacterales; Enterobacteriaceae
Also listed under: 1 other name
Description: partial 23S ribosomal RNA
Rfam family: Bacterial large subunit ribosomal RNA
Source: RNAcentral
GACGGUUGUCCCGGUUUAAGCGUGUAGGUGUGUGUUCCAGGUAAAUCCGGUUCACUUUAACACUGAGGCGUGACGACGAGGCACUACGGUGCUGAAGCAACAAAUGCCCUGCUUCCAGGAAAAGCCUCUAAGCAUCAGGUAACACGAAAUCGUACCCCAAACCGACACAGGUGGUCAGGUAGAGAAUACCAAGGCGCUUGAGAGAACUCGGGUGAAGGAACUAGGCAAAAUGGUGCCGUAACUUCGGGAGAAGGCACGCUGACACGUAGGUGAAGUGAUUUACUCAUGGAGCUGAAGUCAGUCGAAGAUACCAGCUGGCUGCAACUGUUUAUUAAAAACACAGCACUGUGCAAACACGAAAGUGGACGUAUACGGUGUGACGCCUGCCCGGUGCCGGAAGGUUAAUUGAUGGGGUCAGCGUAAGCGAAGCUCCUGAUCGAAGCCCCGGUAAACGGCGGCCGUAACUAUAACGGUCCUAAGGUAGCGAAAUUCCUUGUCGGGUAAGUUCCGACCUGCACGAAUGGCGUAAUGAUGGCCAGGCUGUCUCCACCCGAGACUCAGUGAAAUUGAACUCGCUGUGAAGAUGCAGUGUACCCGCGGCAAGACGGAAAGACCCCGUGAACCUUUACUAUAGCUUGACACUGAACAUUGAGCCUUGAUGUGUAGGAUAGGUGGGAGGCUUUGAAGUGUGGACGCCAGUCUGCAUGGAGCCGACCUUGAAAUACCACCCUUUAAUGUUUGAUGUUCUAACGUGGACCCGUAAUCCGGGUUGCGGACAGUGUCUGGUGGGUAGUUUGACUGGGGCGGUCUCCUCCUAAAGAGUAACGGAGGAGCACGAAGGUUGGCUAAUCCUGGUCGGACAUCAGGAGGUUAGUGCAAUGGCAUAAGCCAGCUUGACUGCGAGCGUGACGGCGCGAGCAGGUGCGAAAGCAGGUCAUAGUGAUCCGGUGGUUCUGAAUGGAAGGGCCAUCGCUCAACGGAUAAAAGGUACUCCGGGGAUAACAGGCUGAUACCGCCCAAGAGUUCAUAUCGACGGCGGUGUUUGGCACCUCGAUGUCGGCUCAUCACAUCCUGGGGCUGAAGUAGGUCCCAAGGGUAUGGCUGUUCGCCAUUUAAAGUGGUACGCGAGCUGGGUUUAGAACGUCGUGAGACAGUUCGGUCCCUAUCUGCCGUGGGCGCUGGAGAACUGAGGGGGGCUGCUCCUAGUACGAGAGGACCGGAGUGGACGCAUCACUGGUGUUCGGGUUGUCAUGCCAAUGGCACUGCCCGGUAGCUAAAUGCGGAAGAGAUAAGUGCUGAAAGCAUCUAAGCACGAAACUUGCCCCGA